UCCCAAUUAUUUUCACGCUGCUCUCCUCGCCUUAGCUCGCCCAUCGGCGGCCUCCAACUCGACUAGACACCUGCGUCGCCCCAUGGGGACACCUCCACCUCCGUAAGCUCGCCGGGCCGCCGGCCAACAUCUCCGUGAGCACGCCGGAGCCACCCCAUGGGGACACACCUCCCUCGGCCUCCUCGACCCACUACGCCCGCGACGCAUGGCGAGGUCUCGUGGUUGCGACGACAGGCGCAGCGCUGGGAGCAAGCCCACGAGGCUGGCAGGCGUGAAGAAGUCGUGCGCCAGCAGCAGUCUUGUUGGGGCGUAGUGAACUGGCGACGAGGUCGACCUCCCUCUCUAUUGCUUCUGGAGGCGGCGACCUCAAAGUGUCAGCGGCAGCGAUGCACAACCUGCACGGCAUUUGAGAGAUUGGGGAAGAAUGGAGAUGGGGCCUUUUGGUCCUUUCAUCUGCGCACAAUCCUGAGAAAUACAGUAAACAGUUCAAAAGGGGCAAAUAAUAUAUGUGCAAAGUAAUUUAGGGUAAAAGAUGAUAUAGUACAAUGUAAAGAAGGGCAAGUCGUAUAGGUCUGAAGUAAAUAGUGGCAAAAAGUAAAAUUCCCCGCCACCAUUGUCCCCGGGGCCAGCACUCUCUCCUCCUUCCUUGGCCACAACAAUGCACUUCUCUCUCUUCUGAGGGCCAUGCAACUAGGCCUAUUUAGCAUCUCGGCGCGACCUAGGCGAAGGGUCGCCACACCGGCGGGGAAGGCCAUCCACCGCUGCUUCUUCCAUGUUCUCAGCGCAUUGCCCGUAAAAGAAUAUCUCCAACUGCCCGCCUGCUGCAGACGUCCAGUUUCUCACCGGCUUGCCACCACAUGUUCUCCUACUUUGCCGUUUGCAACACCGUGCGAACUGACCCGAGGCAGCGUUCCUCUCCGGUGAAGUGGGCCAGGACGGGUGGUGGCAGCCCCUCCCAUCGGCCAUCGUGUUCAGCCCCCACACCUCCUGUGCGAUUUCACCUAGCCGCCGUUGCCACUUCGGAAAAGAACCCGCGCGCCGCUGCUGCUUGCUGAAGAUGGCGGGCUGCCACCGCUCACGGGAGAUGGGGGGCACAACCUCAACCAGACGUGCGACGCCGACGACCUGGCGGAGCUGCGGCCCUUCGCUGGCGGCCUGGACGGAAAAGGCGCAAGUCCGCUCGGGAUCCCAGUCCGUUCAGGUGGGGAUUCGACGACGGCAAGUCGUCCUACGCCUGGACGGGGCGUCUCCUGUGACCUCGGGAGGGUGGUGGGGCUGGAUCUCUCCAGCCAUAGCCUCCGCGGCAUCGCCCCUCCGCCGCUUGCCGCACUCAACCUCCCCGCAGAACACGCUCCGCUGGCCAGCGCCGCUGGGGCUGCGGGUACUUGACCUCAGUGCCAACGCACUCUCCGGUGCCUUCCCGUCAAGCUUUCCUACCAUCUUCUUCCCGACGAUUGAGGUGCUGAACAUCUCUUUCAACAAGUUUUCCAGGCUGUACCCCGCUGUCCCGGCGUUGCAAACAUGGCAUCCCGCGUUCCCGAGCAGCAGCAGCGGACGGCUCUGGUGAGGAUGAACAGCAGGUCAGUACCCUCUUCCAAGGAUCCAUCAUACGACUGAAAAAUCGAUCCACUCCUCUCUUUAGGCAAUCUUCUUACUGUCGACCAUCAUAAAUCGUUGAGUUGGUUUCCCCUAGGUUGUCGUUGGAUAUAUUAGUCCUCUGUUUCGUUCAAAUUAGUGUAGCUGGUUUCUCUGAUGGUGCCUUCCUGCUAUCGAUUGAGGUGAGUUGAUCCUAGAUUUGCUGGGGCGCAGUCGCAUAGAAAAUAUGUUCUGUGACCGUACUUUACAUGCACACUUAUGUUACUAAUAGGAUGUGGUUGUACUGCUGGAGGAAAUACCUUGAAUCAUGUACAGUACCAGAAACCAUAAUUUGUGAUCUCUGUAGUGUUGUGAUGAAAACUGGAGCAUAUACUCUUCAAUUAUUCUACAAAUUAGCCAUAUAUUGGAAAGAUAAAAGCAGAAAUAAGAUUCAGUCUGAUCUGAUUUUUGUUCAGGCCCAUAUUUAUUAUUCUUUUCCCUUGGUGUCUAUGAACCUGAGGGAUAUUGAUUGCAUGAGGAAAAAGUUUUCAGGUGGAUGGGUACUGAGCUUCAUUUUAUUAGUGAGUACAAGAUAAAAAAUAGUUUGUUGGUUACUGACUUGACUAAUUAGGCGGCGACAAGGUGUUGGUUUAUACUUGGGCCACAAAGGAGAGUAAGAAGUAUUUGUGAGAAGGCGUUGCUACAAACAUAUGUAGAGGAUGAGAUGUACAGUAAUCUGUCAAUCUGCAAUUUAAUUUACUGGUUAGACCUUUCUUCAAUUGACACUACACAGCCGUGAAGUUUUCAGAUUUACAUAUCCACAAGGCUUUGGAUAUCAAAUGGUUUUGGUGGUGAGAGAGAUUGGCUUCAUUUUUUGUUGUAACUGUUACAUUUGGGGAUUUUUAUUGGUAUUGCAAAUUGUUGGAGAAAACAGCUAGAGUUAUAUUGUUUCCGAAAGCUUUGACCGCGAACUGCCAAAGAUCAUAGUGGCCGAUGCAGCCAUGGCAGUGUGGCGGGCGUCUCCCUUUGUUUCUCCGCCCGUCUCUUCUCCUGCAAUUAUCCCUCCAUUGCAAACCCAAUCUUCCUGACUCAGUAUUGGCAUGGUCUCAAAUUCCUCUACAGAACAGGCAGUGGUUUUUGGGUAGCUGAUUUGGUAUCUAGAGUUCUCGGCCAGCUUGGGAACUUGGGAAGGUCUUUACAUGCGGCCUAUGUUGGAUAACAUUUCUCCAACAGUGCUUAUGGAUUGUCAGUUUCUGAGAUUGUUUCUAUGACAUAUACGGUUCCAGAAGAUGUUGAGGUGUACUCUAUGGAUAGUUGGAUACAGAAUAAGGAAUAGAACUUCCCUUCUGGAUUUUCAUAUCUUCUGGAAUUUCUCCAUAUAUUCAAUCUUGAUAGUUUCCCACUUCAGAAAAUCUCUUUCAAGGUCACUGUGGCUAUAAUACGAUUGAGAAAGAUCAAUCAAUCAAUUGGGUUAUGCAAUUGAAUCCAUCUUACGGUUACAAGGUUAGGUGAAUGGGUUUUGGAAGCAGAAAUUAUAAUAGGAGAUAAUAAAGGAUAGCUUUCCCAUGGACAGUUCUUCGUCACCAUAUCAAAGUGUCACAACUAGAAAAAGUAGUAAACAUGGGUGGCUGCAUAGUCUAAGAAUAGCGGCUCCAUCACCAUGAUUUGUUUGCCUGUUAUGAGAGCUCUUUUUGUAGUUGAACUUUUAUGUUUGGAUUAUAACUGCGAAUGGCUGUGUGCAUCUUGGUUAUGCAGAGGUCGGGUGUAUUACGUCAAACUCUGAAGUAAU
This is a long non-coding RNA of Lolium perenne, 3364 nucleotides long. RefSeq lists it as uncharacterized. The record is from RefSeq and is a predicted model, not a curated record. NCBI's taxonomy places the organism in Eukaryota, Viridiplantae, Streptophyta, Magnoliopsida, Poales, Poaceae.